CGCUGACAGAAUGCUUAACACAUGCAAGUCUACUUGAUCCUUCGGGUGAUGGUGGCGGACGGGUGAGUAACGCGUAAAGAACUUGCCCUGCAGUCUGGGACAACAUUUGGAAACGAAUGCUAAUACCGGAUAUUAUGUAUUUCUCGCAUGAGUUUUACAUGAAAGCUAUAUGCGCUGCAGGAGAGCUUUGCGUCCUAUUAGCUAGUUGGUGAGGUAACGGCUCACCAAGGCCAUGAUAGGUAGCCGGCCUGAGAGGGUGAACGGCCACAAGGGGACUGAGACACGGCCCUUACUCCUACGGGAGGCAGCAGUGGGGAAUAUUGGACAAUGGACCAAAAGUCUGAUCCAGCAAUUCUGUGUGCACGAUGAAGUUUUUCGGAAUGUAAAGUGCUUUCAGUUGGGACGAAGUAAGUGACGGUACCAACAGAAGAAGCGACGGCUAAAUACGUGCCAGCAGCCGCGGUAAUACGUAUGUCGCAAGCGUUAUCCGGAUUUAUUGGGCGUAAAGCGCGUCUAGGCGGUUUGGUAAGUCUGAUGUGAAAAUGCGGGGCUCAACUCCGUAUUGCGUUGGAAACUGCUAAACUAGAGUACUGGAGAGGUGGGCGGAACUACAAGUGUAGAGGUGAAAUUCGUAGAUAUUUGUAGGAAUGCCGAUGGGGAAGCCAGCCCACUGGACAGAUACUGACGCUAAAGCGCAAAGGCGUGGGUAGCAAACAGG
Molecule: ribosomal RNA, 718 nt
Filed under: uncultured bacterium
Lineage: Bacteria
Description: bacterial SSU rRNA
Rfam family: Bacterial small subunit ribosomal RNA
Source: RNAcentral